GAGGGUACAGCUCAAGUGGUAGAGCUCAUGCUUAGCAUGCAUGAAGUCCUGGGUUCAAUCCCCAGUACCUCCA
RNAcentral lists this transfer RNA (73 nucleotides) under Camelus ferus (Wild Bactrian camel). It matches the Rfam family "tRNA". Rfam says of the family: Transfer RNA (tRNA) molecules are approximately 80 nucleotides in length. Their secondary structure includes four short double-helical elements and three loops (D, anti-codon, and T loops). Lineage: Eukaryota; Metazoa; Chordata; Mammalia; Artiodactyla; Camelidae. The record is from Rfam by way of RNAcentral.